This 445-nucleotide ribosomal RNA is filed under the name uncultured bacterium. RNAcentral's name for it is "bacterial SSU rRNA". It matches the Rfam family "Bacterial small subunit ribosomal RNA", at positions 330 to 792 of the family's 1533-position model. The record is from RNAcentral.
GCCAGACUCCUACGGGAGGCAGCAGUGGGGAAUAUUGCACAAUGGGCGAAAGCCUGAUGCAGCAACGCCGCGUGAAGGAAGAAGGUCUUCGGAUCGUAAACUUCUGUCCUUGGGGAAGAUAAUGACGGUACCCUUGGAGGAAGCCCCGGCUAACUACGUGCCAGCAGCCGCGGUAAUACGUAGGGGGCAAGCGUUAUCCGGAUUUACUGGGUGUAAAGGGAGCGUAGACGGCAGCGCAAGUCUGGAGUGAAAUGCCGGGGCCCAACCCCGGAACUGCUCUGGAAACUGUGAAGCUGGAGUGCAGGAGAGGUAAGCGGAAUUCCUGGUGUAGCGGUGAAAUGCGUAGAUAUCAGGAGGAACACCGGCGGCGAAGGCGGCUUACUGGACUGUAACUGACGUUGAGGCUCGAAGGCGUGGGGAGCAAACAGGAUUAGAUACCCCAGUA